CAGUAGCGUCUAGACAAACACUGCCCCCAAGCCGGUUUCCAAUGCAUCAGCUUUCUACAGUAGAGGGCGCCAGAUUGCUGGUUACUCUGCCACGGAUGCAUUGCUACAAUCAAGGCAAACCAACUCUAACGUCACGGUAAAGCGUACCCCUGGAUUCCUGAGCGUCUCUAACUCAAAGAGGUUGUACCCGAUCACAAGCUACCCGGCUGGAGGCAGAAGAGCAUCCCCACAGCAGUCAAGACGUCUCAGAUCAGUCUACAAGGGUAGG
Asterias rubens (European starfish) is the source of this 268-nucleotide long non-coding RNA. RefSeq lists it as uncharacterized. The transcript is spliced from 3 exons. NCBI's taxonomy places the organism in Eukaryota, Metazoa, Echinodermata, Asteroidea, Forcipulatida, Asteriidae. The record is from RefSeq and is a predicted model, not a curated record.